This is a small nuclear RNA of Meriones unguiculatus (Mongolian gerbil), 107 nucleotides long. The record is from Ensembl. NCBI's taxonomy places the organism in Eukaryota, Metazoa, Chordata, Mammalia, Rodentia, Muridae.
GUGCUUGCUUUGGGAAAACAUAUACUAAAAUUGGAAAGAUACAAAGAAAAUUAUUAUGGCCCACGUGAAAGCAUGACAUACAAAAUCAUGAAGCAUUCCAUAUUUUU